AAAUUAUCCCAAAUUCGUCCCAAAUUAUCUCAAAUUUAUUCCAAAUUUACUCCUAAAUUAUUCCCAAAUUAUUCUCAAAUUCUUCAGAAUUUUUUCCCAAAUUCUUAACAAAUUAUCCCCAAAUUCUUCCCAAAUUAUCCCCAAAUUAUCCCUAAUUUAUUCAUUUAUUCCCCAAAUGAUCCCCAAAUUCCGGUGUCCCCAGUGUCCCCUCCUGUCCUCAAAUUCCGCCAAUUAUUCCCAAAUUUUUCCGAAAUUCCCAAAUUAUCCCGGAAGUGUCCCCGGAUUCCGAGGUGGCUCCGUGUCACCCUCGUGUCCCCAAAUCCCCGCGUGUCCCUCCCGGUCCCCGCAUUCCGAUGUCACCCUCGUGUCACCCUCGUGUCACCCCCGUGUCACCCCCGUGUCACCCCCGUGUCACCGCGUGUCCCGUGUGUGUCCCUCCCCUGUCCUCUCCCUGUCCCCUCCCUGUCCCCAAAUUCCGAUGUCACCCCCGUGUCACCCUCGUGUCCGUCCCUGUCCCGUGUUUGUGUCCGUCCUGUCCCCUCCUCUGUCCCCAGCGGUGCCACCCCUGUCCUCUCCUGUCCCUCUGUCCCUCUGUCCCUCUGUCCCUCUGUCCCUCUGUCCCCUGUCUGUCCCUCUGUCCCCCUGUCCCUCUGUCCCACUCUUGUCCCCUCCCCUGUCCCCUCCCUGUCCCCAAAUUCCGAUGUCCCUCCGUGUCACCCUCGUGUCACCCGCGUGUCCCGUGUUUGUGUCCCGCCCCUGUCCCCUCCCCUUUCCCUUCCCCUGUCACCUCCCUGUCCCCAGCGGUGCCACCCGUGUCCCACCCCUGUCCCCUCCUGUCCCCCUGUCCCUCUGUCCCUCUGUCCCUCUGUCCCCCUGUCCCUCUGUCCCCUGUCUGUCCCUCUGUCCCCUCCUGUCCCUCUGUCCCACUCUUGUCCCCUCCCCUGUCCCCUCCCUGUCCCCGCAUUCCGAUGUCCCUCCGUGUCACCCUCGUGUCACCCGCGUGUCCCGUGUUUGUGUCCCGCCCCUGUCCCCGCCUGUCCCCAGCGGUGCCACCCGUGUCCCCUGUCCGUCCGUCCGUCCGUCCGUCCGUCCGUCCGUCCGCGGGGCCGAUGUCGCCGCCCGCCGCCUCGCGCGGUCCCCUGGCCGUGCUGGCCGCGGCCACGGCGUGUCCGCGCUGCGGGAGCGCCG
RNAcentral lists this long non-coding RNA (1188 nucleotides) under Lonchura striata (white-rumped munia). Its description in RNAcentral is "domestica (Bengalese finch) lncRNA (ENSLSDG00000006973.1)". The record is from RNAcentral. Lineage: Eukaryota; Metazoa; Chordata; Aves; Passeriformes; Estrildidae.